This 523-nucleotide ribosomal RNA is filed under the name uncultured Thauera sp. RNAcentral describes it as "bacterial SSU rRNA". It matches the Rfam family "Bacterial small subunit ribosomal RNA", at positions 1 to 525 of the family's 1533-position model. Lineage: Bacteria; Pseudomonadati; Pseudomonadota; Betaproteobacteria; Rhodocyclales; Zoogloeaceae. The record is from RNAcentral.
UAGAGUUUGAUCCUGGCUCAGAUUGAACGCUGGCGGCAUGCUUUACACAUGCAAGUCGAACGGCAGCGUGGGCUUCGGCCUGGCGGCGAGUGGCGAACGGGUGAGUAAUGCAUCGGAACGUACCCAGUCGUGGGGGAUAACACAUCGAAAGAUGUGCUAAUACCGCAUACGUCCUGAGGGAGAAAGCGGGGGACCUUCGGGCCUCGCGCGAUUGGAGCGGCCGAUGUCAGAUUAGCUAGUAGGUGGGGUAAAGGCCCACCUAGGCGACGAUCUGUAGCGGGUCUGAGAGGAUGAUCCGCCACACUGGGACUGAGACACGGCCCAGACUCCUACGGGAGGCAGCAGUGGGGAAUUUUGGACAAUGGGGGCAACCCUGAUCCAGCCAUGCCGCGUGAGUGAAGAAGGCCUUCGGGUUGUAAAGCUCUUUCGGCCGGGAAGAAAUCGCAUCUUUUAAUAGAGGGUGUGGAUGACGGUACCGGACUAAGAAGCACCGGCUAACUACGUGCCAGCAGCCGCGGUAAUA